This 468-nucleotide ribosomal RNA is filed under the name uncultured bacterium. RNAcentral's name for it is "partial 16S ribosomal RNA". It matches the Rfam family "Bacterial small subunit ribosomal RNA", at positions 28 to 507 of the family's 1533-position model. The record is from RNAcentral.
GACGAACGCUGGCGGCGUGCUUAACACAUGCAAGUCGAACGGAAAGGCUCCAGCUUGCUGGAGUACUCGAGUGGCGAACGGGUGAGUAACACGUGGGUGAUCUGCCCUGCACUUCGGGAUAAGCCUGGGAAACUGGGUCUAAUACCGGAUAGGACCGCACUUUGGUGUGUGUGGUGGAAAGGUUUUUCUGGUGUGGGAUGAGCUCGCGGCCUAUCAGUUUGUUGGUGGGGUAAUGGCCUACCAAGACGGCGACGGGUAGCCGGCCUGAGAGGGUGGACGGUCACAUUGGGACUGAGAUACGGCCCAGACUCCUACGGGAGGCAGCAGUGGGGAAUAUUGCACAAUGGGGGAAACCCUGAUGCAGCGACGCCGCGUGGGGGAUGAAGGCCUUCGGGUUGUAAACUCCUUUCGCUAGGGACGAAGCUUUUUGUGACGAUACCUGGAGAAGAAGCACCGGCUAACUACGUG